AAGUACCUCUGAGUCCGUCGGACGAUACGUCCGCGGAUAGGAGUAACGGCUGGUUGGCGCAGCCAUCGACUCACCUGUUCGACAAGUCAACGGGUGGAUUCCACCCACAAGAACAGGUUGUGUCGUAGACCUUAAUAUCCCAACUGCGGUCGGGAAUCCUCGCCCUUCAGGACGGGAG
RNAcentral lists this non-coding RNA (178 nucleotides) under Halovivax ruber XH-70. RNAcentral's name for it is "Sense overlapping transcript RNA 0042 (sot)". It matches the Rfam family "Sense overlapping transcript RNA 0042 (sot)". Rfam says of the family: It is associated with IS1341-type transposase (tnpB) genes, at the 3'-end in H. salinarum NRC-1. The tetraloop structural motif may be functional. The record is from Rfam by way of RNAcentral. Lineage: Archaea; Methanobacteriati; Methanobacteriota; Halobacteria; Halobacteriales; Natrialbaceae.